Molecule: long non-coding RNA, 2950 nt
Organism: Cyclopterus lumpus (lumpfish)
Lineage: Eukaryota; Metazoa; Chordata; Actinopteri; Perciformes; Cyclopteridae
Exons: 3
Source: RefSeq, a predicted model, not a curated record
UAUCUACGUGGCCGCUGGGGUACACGUGAUCAGUGGAAUGGAGUUGUUUCUGCUGAUGUUUCCUCGUUACUGUACUUAAGUCGUUUUUUUGUGGAUAUCUGUACUUUACUAUUUAUAUUUAUUUUUCUUCACUACAUUUUGCAAAGAAAACUGAUACUUUUACAUUUCCCCUGAAACCUUCGUUACUCGCUACAAAAUCAAAUCUAUCUUUAGAAAAAAAUUAAUCGUGAGACCAACGUCGGGGACUGUGGUGGAACAGACUCCAAGCCAGCAGGUUGAAUCAGUGGUCCGAGUUUAAGUUACAUCAUUGGUUAAUCACGUUAUUGCGCUAGUGCUCUUUUAUUCCCAGUGAUGCCCGGGAUGCUAACAUAGCUAGCGAGCGGCUACUAUGAGUAGAUGACUGUUUUCAUGAUGGAUGCACCUGCUACUCCCGCAACAAACGACAGUGGUGACGAAGACCAACAACGGAUUGGAUAAUAUCUCUGGCGGGAAACCGCUUGCUCCGCCUCCUCGACGCUCACCACUUCACCCUCCAUCUCCAUCUUCACCUCCACCUGAGAGUUCACCACCUGAUGCCCGUCCACUUCUGUUGUGGUCACGUGCACCACCUGGAUCUGUACCCCGGCCCGCUUAAGUCUCUCCACGUCCUCCUCGCACAUCUCCGCCACCCCUCCGUCCUCCACCAAGACCGUCGUCAUUGUCGUCUCCUCCUCCAUCUCCAUCACGUCCACUGGCUCGACCGUGACAUGCUCCACUUGGAUGCCGUCGUCCAGCAGAACCGUCUCGGCUCCCUCUAUUGCGAUGGCGGAGGCAGAGUCACUGAGGACCAGCUCUUCCGCCGAAUUGUCCUCAAUGGAAUGGAUGUGUUUGAGGUGGGCCUUUAGGUCUUUUGGGUGGGUGAACCACAUAUCACACAUGGUGCAGUGGUUGGGCUUGUCGCCCGUGUGGCUCACGAGAUGGUCUUUGAAUUGGUCCCAGCUGUUGAAUACACUGCUGCAGACCUGAUGGAGGAGAACAUAGUGGGGCCAAUGUUAAAACUUGAGCAAAACCCCACCACAGGCCUGGAGCCCAAAACCAAACCUUUUCCAUUUACUACAAGAAAAGCAACAUAUUAUUUCAAUUUGGAGUGAACCAUCAAUUUCUUGAAAUGUUUGCAUAGAACAUGUCUUCAGCAUUUUCUUAUGAAUUAAUAUCAAUAUUCAAUCUAUCAAUUAAUAGAAUCCUUGCUGCUCUACUCAACUUAAUGGAAACUAGACCUUUUUGAAUACAGAAAUACACCAUUCACCUGUGAAGCACAUCUGGCCUUACGUGGAUCACGUUGACUACCUGAAAUUGGCUGAUAAUAAUAUUCCACACACAACCGUCAAAAGAAUGUUUACGACCGCCAUACAUUUUUACUUGUAGAGACCCUGUGAUAAGAGUUGUCCCCAACAUACAUCCCUUUCAGCGAAUUAUGACAAUUUGUUACACACGCUAAAAACUCCAUUCCCCCAAAUGUAGUGUGCUAAAUGUAAGUUCGCUGUUGACAAAUCAUUUAUUGCGUCACAAAAUCUGAACUGCUUUUCAUCACUGUAAUAAAAUAUGUUUUCUACGGUGGACACUGCACUGGCCUGGAUCCUGGACAAGCUGUACCUGGCAUUCGUAGAGUUUCUUGCGUCCUUUCUUGGCUCCAGCCCCAUUCUGACAGGCCGCCAUAUGGCACUUCAGUGUGCUGUUCCUUGCGAAACGCUCGUGGCAAUCUGGACACUCAUAAGGUUUUUCACCUACAGAUAGACAUAUAAAUGCGUGCAUUUCAAUACUAGAUGAGUAACAACAAGUAAAUGAUACAUAAUGAUGAAAAACUCCACUGAACACAGCCAGCGUUCUUUUCGCCUCCCAUUCUCACCAGUGUGCUUCCGUAAGUGCUCCUUAAAGUGGCCGAAGUGGUCAAAGUGCUUUUUACAGUAUUCACAGACAUGCACCCUCUUCUGGGGUUUCUGGUUCUGAGACAGCUCUUCCGCAUCAAAAUGAAACGUGCCGAUGUGCUGCUUCAAGGCGCCCUCCCUCGUGUAGGCUUUCCCGCAGUGGUCGCACACGUGUGGUUUUUCCAUCGAACCCAGGUGGGUUUUCAAGUGCUGUUUGAGGUGGUAGUACAGCUUGAAGCUGCGAUCGCACUUGUUGCAGCGGAACAUGUUGUCCACUUGGGAAAUCUGGACCUCCACGACCUCGACAUUCUCCAGCACCUUUGAGGCCGUCACCGUUUCCUCCUGGUACACCAUCUCCUGUCAAGUGCAAACACGGGGUGACCAGGGUUAAGCCUUUCAUAUUGAGAAGUCUCACUGUGUAGACAUAGUUUGCCAAUUAAUAGACCAUUAGAGCAUACAAGUCAGUGUACCUCUUCUAGUUCUUCUUUCUUUAAGACCUGAGGCAUAGGUUCCCCUUGCUGAUACUUGCUGGUUAUGUCCGCCAGAAGAGCCAAAGCAGAGUCGUCGGACGCCGCCUGAGCAUUCUUUGCUGCAUCAACCACCUCCUCCAGUCCGGUCUCCUCCAGCUCGAUGGCCCCUCCUUCCCCAAUCACCUCAAUUUCCACCUGGAGCACAUGGAAAAUGUUCAGUCCUGACAAAAUGUGAAAUGUUUGCACGUCAUAUAUUGGUUUGAUUUUAGCGAUGUAUGUCUUUGAGUGUGACCACCAUGAACGUACUGACCUGUUCCCCUUCCACUGAAGGUAGGGUUUCUGUAAUCACAUUAGAAGUCUCCGCAAUCUUCCUCUUUUUACCUUUGCCCUUGGCCGUCAGCGAGGGAUUCUCAUUUAUCCUACAAGAGAAGACAAGCUGUUGGUGAGAGUGAUCAUCUGCAGCGGUGGGUGACGUGACGAGUGAAUCGAGACUCACUUUACGUUGAGCGCUUUGAUGGCUUCCUGCAUCUGGAGGUAUUCCGCAGCCUUCCAGACAUCAUAGGCCUCUUCUUCUCC